RNA transcript from Populus trichocarpa (black cottonwood), 1759 nucleotides. RefSeq lists it as uncharacterized. The transcript has 3 exons. The record is from RefSeq and is a predicted model, not a curated record. Lineage: Eukaryota; Viridiplantae; Streptophyta; Magnoliopsida; Malpighiales; Salicaceae.
UCCUGUCAAAAAAAAAAAAAGACACCACCCCCAAGACUCCCACAACAAAUCUCCGGUAGCUUAACAACACCCAUUUCCCAUAUCAUCCAUCCAUCACCAGGCAGCAGCAAUGGACUCCGACUCACCACAACCCGAACCCACACCAGUCCCACCCUCCACCGAUCCAUUAACCAACCAAUUCACCUCCCUCAACGACCUAGCCCACGAACUGACCUCUCUCCAAGACCUAGCCAACCGCGGCUCCUGGCUAUCAAUACUCGACAAAGUCAAUCGAGCUCGAUCUCUCUCUCUCUUAAAUACCCCACACGAUCACCUCACUUACCUCGCUUACAUCGUUCUCUCUUUCACUAAACUACGCCGUUUCCAAGAAGCCCAGACAGAACUCGAUUCCCUCGACGAUUUUAACAGUCACCAUUACCGCUACGAAACUUACCCUAAAAUUUACCCUAACCGGUCCGGUUCGAUGGUCCCUUUCUCUCUCCGGUGGCUGCAUGCGCUGCUCCCUAUUAAAUUAGGCAAUCGUCAAGAAGGUUUAGAUCGGUUUUAUUUGUUACUUGAUUUUGUACGUGAAAAACUGAAUCGCAACGGAAACGAUGAGUCAGUCAAAGUUUGGAGGAAGAGAGAGGUUUUUGUUGUUAAUCAUAUAAUUAAUCAGCAUUUGAGUAAUAAGGAGUUAAGUGUUUGUUUGGAUUUGAUUAAUGCUUUAAUCUCUCGCGGGAAUUUAGAUCCUGCUUUGUUGUCGAAAUUAGGGUAUGUGCAGAUGCAAAUUGGGGAUUUGGAUGGGGCAAAUGUGUCAUUUGGUAAGGUAGAGAAAAUGUCUAGUGAGAGUGAAGAGAAUGAGUCUGGGUUAAGGAAUUUGGUUAGUAGGAAUAAGGCAUUGGUGUAUUUGGUGGGGAAGGAUUAUUUGUCGGCGGUGAGGGAAUAUGAUGAGUGUAUUGAGAGGGAUGGAAUGGAUGUUGUGGCGAUUAAUAAUAAGGCGAUCUGUUUGAUGUAUUUGAGGGAUUUGUCGGAUUCGAUUAAGGUUUUGGAGAAUUCUCUGGAAAGAGUGCCCACCGUAGCAUUGAAUGAGACGCUUGUUGUUAAUCUGUGUAGCAUGUAUGAGUUGGCUUAUGUUAAUCAUUCGGAUACUAAGCGGACACUUAGUAAUUGGAUUGCUCGAGUUGCUCCAGAUGAUUUUGAUUCUUCUUGUACCCGGGUUUGAGAGGAUCAGAGUUCAUGAAUAAAUUAUUUAGCAAUUAUGCUUAAACGUUGUGUGAUGCAAUCUUGGGUGUGACUCCUAUGAACAUCUUGUGAUCUUAGGAUCUUCUUCUUGGAGUAAUCCCUAGAAACCUACUGCUAUGAUAUUGGACAUAAACCCAGCUUGAAUUGUCAAAUUGUGUAAACUUAGAACUUUGGCUUAUGAUCUACUUUUGUAUGCCUGGCCUUUUACUCCACACAGUGGGAAGCUCAGAGGACAAGCUGUCAUAGUGCUUCAAGCUUGCAAGGAAUGAAGUUGGAGCCAUGCUGGUGAGUCAUUUUUAGGCUAGUGUACUUGCUAAGAACAAAUAAAAAACUGAGAAUGAGGUUUUACACAUCCAAUGGUUUUGAUGCUUUUCUAUGUGAGAUGCAACACCACUUUAAGAUUGUAUAAUCUUGAUCUUCCUCAUCCUGAUGUAUGAUUGGCAAAGUAAUACACCUGUAAGGAGACAGUGAGAUUUGCAGGACCUUAGUGCAUAAUAAGUCAACAAGAGAGCACCAAAAUUAUAUUUUGGUUGAUUCA